UGAAAGAGAAGUGUACACUAAUGUAGUUAUGAAUGCUCAGAAGAAAAGUGGGCUGUUUUGGGUAAGAAGAAACCCACAAAAAAGUGUGCUAGUUUGAUAGUGUUGGAGAAGUGCGGUUGGAUCCCUCCUUUGUGUAAAAUCUUGGAUCUCUCCUCCGACAGCUCAGGUUGAGCUCAUGAUACCUGUCUCCAUGAGUAGUCAAAACUAUUCAUGUAUGAUUUUAACUGUGCUUGGCUUGAAGUAUAUACUGACUGCGUUAGGAAUUUAGCUCUUCUCAUACUUCAAAACACUUUGAAUAAAUGGUAUAUGCCUACGGAACAAGAAAAAAUGUCAGAAUCAUAUUUUAUAACACCGGAUGGAAAGAAUGUCCUACUGCAUGGAAGUUAAUAACACAUUUUAUUUGUGCUCUGUACAACAGAAGACAAAGACUGAAGACAGCAGAUAGGAAGAGCCAGCAAACUGUAAUAUUUGAAAAUUCAUUGGAGUGUUCCAAGCAGAACAUUAAGGUAAUAUUUAUGUUCUGGAGAUAGUCCUAUGGAAAGAAAAUUCUC
RNAcentral lists this long non-coding RNA (551 nucleotides) under Rhinopithecus bieti (black snub-nosed monkey). Its description in RNAcentral is "lncRNA (ENSRBIG00000046806.1)". Lineage: Eukaryota; Metazoa; Chordata; Mammalia; Primates; Cercopithecidae. The record is from RNAcentral.